CCUUCGGGGGGCAGCAGUGAGGAAUAUUGGUCAAUGGGCGGGAGCCUGAACCAGCCAAGUCGCGUGAGGGAAGACGGUCCUAUGGAUUGUAAACCUCUUUAGGCGGGGAGCAAUGCCGGGCACGCGUGCCCGGAGGGAGAGUACCCGCAGAAUAAGCAUCGGCUAACUCCGUGCCAGCAGCCGCGGUAAUACGGAGGAUGCGAGCGUUAUCCGGAUUUAUUGGGUUUAAAGGGUGCGUAGGCGGAUUUUUAAGUCAGCGGUAAAAUGUCCGGGCUCAACCCGGGCCGGCCGUUGAGACUGGGGAUCUUGAGUGGGCGAGAAGUAUGCGGAAUGCGUGGUGUAGCGGUGAAAUGCGUAGAUAUCGAGAGGAACACUCGUGGCGAAGGCGGGUUCCUGGACAUUAACUGACGCUGAGGCACGAAGGCCAGGGGAGCGAAAGGGAUUAGAUACCCGAGUAGUC
This 460-nucleotide ribosomal RNA is filed under the name uncultured bacterium. RNAcentral describes it as "partial 16S ribosomal RNA". It matches the Rfam family "Bacterial small subunit ribosomal RNA", at positions 338 to 795 of the family's 1533-position model. The record is from RNAcentral.